CCUACGGGUGGCAGCAGUGGGGAAUAUUGCACAAUGGGGGGAACCUUGAUGCAGCAACGCCGCGUGGGUGAAGAAGUACUCCGGUAUGUAAAGCCCUGUCAGCAGGGAAGAAAAUGACGGUACCUGACCAAGAAGCCCCGGCUAACUACGUGCCAGCAGCCGCGGUAAUACGUAGGGGGCAAGCGUUAUCCGGAUUUACUGGGUGGAAAGGGAGCGUAGACGGCAAGGCAAGUCUGGAGUGAAAGCCGCUGGCCCAACCACGGGACUGCUUUGGAAACUGUGUUGCUGGAGUGCAGGAGGGGUAAGCGGAAUGCCUAGUGUAGCGGUGAAAUGCGUAGAUAUUAGGAGGAACACCGGUGGCGAAGGCGGCUUACUGGACUGUAACUGACGUUGAGGCUCGAAGGCGUGGGGAGCAAACAGGAUUAGAUACCCUAGUAGUC
RNAcentral lists this ribosomal RNA (440 nucleotides) under uncultured bacterium. Its description in RNAcentral is "partial 16S ribosomal RNA". It matches the Rfam family "Bacterial small subunit ribosomal RNA", at positions 338 to 795 of the family's 1533-position model. The record is from RNAcentral.